This is a long non-coding RNA of Ipomoea triloba (trilobed morning glory), 924 nucleotides long. RefSeq lists it as uncharacterized. The record is from RefSeq and is a predicted model, not a curated record. The transcript has 2 exons. NCBI's taxonomy places the organism in Eukaryota, Viridiplantae, Streptophyta, Magnoliopsida, Solanales, Convolvulaceae.
UCCAAUGUCAUUCAACAUAGAAAUUGUGUUAGGCAUGUGCAUGCCAAUUAGAGUAAGAGCCAUAGAGGGAAAGUUCUUAAGGGUCAUUUCUGGCAGAUUGCAAAGACACUAAAUAAAACACAACUUGCUGAAAGUUUCAAGGCUUUAGAGAAGAUUGAUGUUGCUGCCUGUGUUGAUCUUGACAAAUAUCCAAUGCAAUACUAGUGCAAGACUUACUUCAAGGAAGAUGUCAAGUGUGACAUGGUAGAUAACAACCUAAGUGAGGCAUUCAAUUGAACUUUGCUCAGUGCAAGAUCAAAGUUUAUAAUUCCAUUGCUUGAGGAUAUACGGGUAGCAAAGAAAAAAAACAAUGGCUGAAAAUUAGAGAGGAAAUUACGGCUCAUUGGUGAUGAAGAAGCUCAAUGAAAGCAUACUUGGGAAUGCAGGUUGGGAUGUGGCAUUCAAUGGAGUUGAGGGUUAUGAAUUUAAAAAGGACAGAUUUCAAUUCAAGGUAAAUUUACAUUUGAUGAAGAAUUAUGACAUGUCAACUAAGCAAGGGAAAGGGACAUAAUAAAUGAUUUUGUCCUACACUCUCAAGCCAACAAGCAGAAUCUGCCACUUCUUCAACUGUUAGAGGAAGACCACCUGCUGCUGCAAGGGGGAGAGAUAGAGGGAGAGGAAGAGGGAGAGGAAGUGGAAGAGGGACAUGCUUGUCGCAGGAAAGCUUAGUUGACGCUUCAAGUUGCACAGAGUGAAACUCAAUAGAACCAUGAAGGUAGAUGAAGAUUGAUGAAGACAAUGAUGCUUUUUGUGUUUUGUAGAUUAUUAGCUAGUGUUUAUGUAGUCACUUCUUUUGUGGAUGCAUGAUUUUGUGGAUGCAUGAUUUUGUGGAGAACAAAUGAUGGGCAGUUUAUUAAUGUCUGAGGAGAGGCUGAAUUAUAUGAA